GACGAACGCUGGCGGCGUGCUUAACACUGCAAAUUCGUAGGGAAGGGCCCUUUGGGGGUAACCGGAUGGGGGACGGGUGGGGUACCCGUGGGUUAACCUCCCCCAACCUUGGGGUAAAGGCAGGGAACCUGUGCCUAUUCCGGAUAUGUUGUCCCUCCGGCUGGGGGGGGGUUGGAAGGCCCGGCGGUUGUGGAUGGACUCGCGGCCUAUCAGCUUGUUGGUGGGGUAGUGGCCUACCAAGGCGGCGACGGGUAGCCGGCCUGAGAGGGUGACCGGCCACAUUGGGACUGAGAUACGGCCCAGACUCCUACGGGAGGCAGCAGUGGGGAAUAUUGCACAAUGGGCGCAAGCCUGAUGCAGCAACGCCGCGUGCGGGAUGACGGCCUUCGGGUUGUAAACCGCUUUCAGCAGGGACGAAGCUUUUUGUGACGGUACCUGCAGAAGAAGCACCGGCUAACUACGU
Molecule: ribosomal RNA, 463 nt
Filed under: uncultured bacterium
Lineage: Bacteria
Description: partial 16S ribosomal RNA
Rfam family: Bacterial small subunit ribosomal RNA
Source: RNAcentral